AUGAACGCUGGCGGCGUGCCUAAUACAUGCAAGUCGAGUGAACAGACGAGGAGCUUGCUCCUCUGACGUUAGCGGCGGACGGGUGAGUAACACGUGGAUAACCUACCUAUAAGACUGGGAUAACUUCGGGAAACCGGAGCUAAUACCGGAUAAUAUAUUGAACCGCAUGGUUCAAUAGUGAAAGACGGUUUUGCUGUCACUUAUAGAUGGAUCCGCGCCGCAUUAGCUAGUUGGUAAGGUAACGGCUUACCAAGGCAACGAUGCGUAGCCGACCUGAGAGGGUGAUCGGCCACACUGGAACUGAGACACGGUCCAGACUCCUACGGGAGGCAGCAGUAGGGAAUCUUCCGCAAUGGGCGAAAGCUUGACGGAGCAACGCCGCGUGAGUGAUGAAGGUCUUCGGAUCGUAAAACUCUGUUAUUAGGGAAGAACAAAUGUGUAAGUAACUAUGCACGUCUUGACGGUACCUAAUCAGAAAGCCACGGCUAACUACGUG
RNAcentral lists this ribosomal RNA (496 nucleotides) under uncultured bacterium. RNAcentral describes it as "partial 16S ribosomal RNA". It matches the Rfam family "Bacterial small subunit ribosomal RNA", at positions 29 to 507 of the family's 1533-position model. The record is from RNAcentral.